Molecule: non-coding RNA, 46 nt
Organism: Gorilla gorilla gorilla (western lowland gorilla)
Lineage: Eukaryota; Metazoa; Chordata; Mammalia; Primates; Hominidae
Source: Rfam
AAAAAGGUUUUUUUAAAAACUAUAUUAACUCUACUAAAAAUGUCAU